UUUUUUGUUUUUUUUUUUUUGAUAAAUCGAGUUUUUGGAAAGAUUUGGCAUUGCUAGAAGAGCUCAUCUAAAAAGAGAAUAAUAUGUGUUGAGUGAAAAUACAACAAUGCUUCCCCAAAAUCCUUGUGUUGCUAUUUUUCAGAGGCAAAACUGAGGCACAGUAUCCCUGAGAGACCAUUCUCCCAAGGUAUUUACCUUGAGAACAACCUGCAAGCUCCCAUGGGUUCAGAGUUCAUUUUUAAGAUUAUGGGAUACUUUCCAUCCAAUACCACCUGAGAGGGACGGUUGGGAUGUCAUUUAAUGUCACUUACAGUGGCUGCUCAGCAAAUGGUCCUCUGUCCUCGAGGCAGGGGGGUGAAAUCAGCCCUUCAUUUAACACAGGCCAUUGAAAACCAACCAUGCACAGGCUCCUCACUUAAGCAGAUGAGCUGGAUGCAAAUGGAUAAACAGGAUUGCUGAUAUUGUGUUCACCCUCUCCCAUUUGCAAGCCCCAUUUCCAAAUGUUCUUUGAAUGGGGAUAGGUGGAAAGGGGGGAGUUUAUUGCAUUAUUUUCAUUGCUUACUCUGAAUAAUGGAAGUGCAGCAAAUGCAGCAUGUGGGCCAAUCUUUGGACCAUUCUUUGGACCUUUCUUCUGUGAACAUUCAGUUCAAAAAUAUUUGUUACACAGUGAAUAAGAGGCUGUUCUCUUGCUCAGCAUGGAAUUAGAAUGACUGCCAGUCAGGAAUGAAGUCACCUUCCAUUUCAGGAUCUUUCAGCGAAAAAGGACGAGUUUUCCUGUGGAGCUGAAUUUGUCAUGUGUGUUCCUGAGGAAAUGUUAAGAAACCGAAUAUUUCAUGAAGGUGGAAGGCUUGGAAAUACAUUUACACCAAACAUUUUGGGAAGGUGGAAGGUUUAGAAAUACUUUUCUACCCUCUUUCGUUCAGUGCAUCCCAGCCCAAAGAGCCCAAAGGCUCCAGAGCAUAGCUCUUGUCCCCACUGUGACUUCGCUGUCUCCCAGGACAUGCCAGGAUUUCCAAAGGGAGCUAGAACUGGGAACAGGUCAGCAGAAACCACAGCACCCCAAUAUUUCACCUUGUUUACCUAUGGAUUCCCCACAAUAUGUAUUAAAAGAGCUCAGAAAUUCUGGAAGGUGUGGAUGGAUGGAUGGAUGGAUGGAUGGAUGGAUGGAUGGAUGGAUGGAUGGAUGGCCAGCAGGUACUUGGGGUUCACCAAUACUCCUAAAAGUAAAAUCCCCUGACCAAUAUUUAAGUAACAAAAUUAGCGUUCCUUUAUAGAGUAAUUCCAAAUUUCUAGAUAUUUCUCAGAUAUUUCUAAUAACAAAAAAACCCCAAAAUCUAAUGACAUCUGAAGAUGUAGCAGGUCCUGUGGAAAGUAACUUUGUCAAGUCUUUUGGAAAGGGAGACCAAUAGUGAUAAAAUGCAGACUCACCUCACUCGGGGCCAUUUCACAGAGCAGCAACACACACAGACAUCUCCCUAUUUAUAUAAACCCCAUUUAUAUAACCCUUGUUAGACCCCUUUAAAUGCUCCCUGACACAUCUCCACUGAUGCAGUGCCAUUUCUGAUAAAAGCCCAACUCUUUUCCUGUAUCAAAAUGCGCUCAUUGUGCAGCAAUUCAAAGACACGACUCUUCCUCUUUAUGAGCUCUGAAAAUAUCUCAUUAAGAGUUUCACAAAUUACCACCAUCGCUUCUGCUGACGCGCUUGUUCGUCCUCGGAGCCAAAAAACUGCGGCUGACAACUUUAAUGGAACAAAGCAGGGCUUUCCCAGGCUGUGAUUCAGCACUCAAACACCUCGGUGUCAUCUUGAGCUUGGAGGUUUGAUGGAGCCAAGGUGUGAGGUGCCACUUGAGACAAGUGAGGGAAGUGUGGGGAUGUUUUUCCUGCCCUCUCUCGGAUCUACGGUUUCAGCACUCUUCACCAUCUGGUGGAACACUUCAGAGAAGAAAACAGUUCUGCAAUAUCUAAUUUUGCCAUGUUUUUGGAACAUCAUUAUAAUGAUCUUUGUGUCAUUUAAGUGUGAUUACUCGUCCUCCAAGGCUUUUCCUGUUUACGCUUAAAUAGUACUGGAGCAUGGCCAGAUACGCUUGAAAUGAAAUGGUACAAAAUACUACAUUUUUAUCAUAAAGGCUUAAAAGCAACAUUUACAAUUAGGGGACUCAGCCUGUGCUUUGCAUUCUGGUAGGUUUUUUGUUUUGAUCUCAUUGUAGUAGUAGAUAAAUAAAAUUAAUUAAGCAAGCAUAAUUGCUGGUUAAAUUUUACAAAAUCCUGAAGAAAUGGAAGGCCUAAUUCAAAGUGGCGGUAAUGGUGUAAAUAAUUAAGUCAAAUUGUUUUCAUUUUCAUGCCGCAUAUUGUUUCCUUCAGCAUGUAAUGGUACAAGGCAAAGUGUACGCAGUGCUUGAACUAGACAAAUAAUAGAUAAAUUUAUUCAUAAAUACUUUGUGGAUUGUAAUUAGAAGUUGUCUGCUGCAGUGUCUAUAGCACCAGUCUAUUUUUUCCUUCAGUUUCUGUAAAUAUUUGUCUGGGGAAAUUUGUGCUUUGAAGAAUGUAGAGAGAAGGAGAAUACAUCACAAAAAGUGUUACAAACUCAUCUUUGCUGCUUGGUUUGAGCAUACAAGUUCUGUGUUCUUAGCAUGACGCAGGUGGUCUCUGCCUGCAGCAGGCUGAGGGAGGCUGGGAGCUGGGUGUGAGAUGAGUUUCUCUUCUCUCACUGCUUGGUGCCCCAAAUAGAGCUUUUCCAGACAGGAGAUACGAAUUACCUGGUGGAACCUGCCAAAAAACCCACGGGAUGUCAGGGCUCCAGGAGAGAUUGCCUGGACACGGGGCCGGGCGCACGCAGUGAUUGUGCAGGGCAAGCACCCUGUGGGAGAAAAAUGGGAUUGUUUCUCUCAUUGAGAAGGGGAACUUCUCAAUGAACUCAUUCCAGGCAGAGCUGUGAUAAUCCAGGCUGGGUGGAAGCUCAGGAGAUCCUUCAGGGAUCACCUGAAGGAUCCUUCAGCCACUCACCGUGGCUUUGAACACUGGUCAGCAACCCUGAAAGGGGCAUUUGGGGACAGCCCCCCAUCAGCAGCUCCUGGGUGAAACCCAUUUGUGUAACCAGCUCACUCUCAGCAUAGCACAAAUUUAUCAAAACACCAGUUUGGAAAAUUCAGGGACACAGAAGGUGGAACCUAUUGGAUAAAUCGGCACACUCUCAAAUGUAUUCCCAAUGAGUGCAGUCAAGGAUUGCAUUAGGAUUACUGCACUCCCUAAGGUUUGAGGGACCUUAUUCUGCCCCAGUGCACCUACCUGAGUACUGUGAGUGUUGUUAAGCCGUGGAAUGAGCAGCAGAAGAGUUUGUGGCACUGCUUGGAGCUGGCACGUGCCAAUACCUCGACCACCUGAGCACAGAGCGCAGCACCAGGCACUACAAACAAAUCCCUGCAAAGCUCUGCACAGGGGUCAAAAAGACUCCUCAGGUCUGUUGGUUCUUUCCAUGUUCUUCCAGCGGGGAGGGAGAGCUGAAAAAUACUGUGGAGCUUUUGUUCACCUCUUGCUGCAGUGGAGCAGAGCUUCUACAUAGCACUACUGGCCUCUGCUGCCAGCAUGGGAGAGGAGGAGAGCAGAGAGGCUUCCCACACCUCUGCCUCUCCAGAGGGCCUCCUGAUCCCUGAGUACAAGCUGCAGGGAAACCAAUCUUUCAUCUUUACCUUAUUUUCAUGCUUACAAAUAAAGGUCAAGGCUCCUGUGCUGUAGCCGACGCCGAACGAGCUUUGAACAACCACCCUGAAAUGUGAUUGUAAUUAGUUUCCUUUCAAUCUUGAUGUGAACAGUGAUCUUAAAAUGCCAGGACUGUAGCAGUGCAUAUGAUUAACAAGCACACAGAAAGGCAGUCUGCGGAAAAAUAUGGAUAGAAAUGAACAAAAUGCAAAUGUUGCACUGCUUUAAAUUUUAUUAUCCUCCCAGCUCUUCAUAAAAUACUGUAGACAUAGUUUGAUUAUAUUUUUAGUCUAGGGAAUUAAUUUUUAACUAGGGAACUUGUUUCUGUCUUAUGAUUACUCUUCUCUUCAAUGGCCUGUAGGUCUGAACUAAAAAAAAAAAAUCAAAGUUUUUAUUGUGCUAAUGAUGCCCAGAACUCAAAUUAAUCUCACUUAGGUGUGUGCCAUGCCAAUAUGUGCCAGAGCUACAGGCAACCUUUUGAUACUAGUGAUUUCUCCAGGAGCCAGGUGUAAAGCCUGUCAAUGUCACCACCUUGGAGACUCCUUGGAGCAGCCAGUGGGGGAAGGAAGAACAGAGCCAGUGAUAUUUCCUGGUCCCUCCUCUUAUUUCACUUCAUUGUCUCAGUUGGCAGUAGAGCCUACGGGAGGGUGAGGAGGAGUUGUGAGCACAGUGCUCUGGUCACAUCCACUCACAGCCCCUGGUCCAGCUCCCUUCUGCACCCGGGAAUGGGUGGGAGCUGCUCCCAGAGAGGCAGAAAUUCCCUCACCCAGCCAAAAAGGACUUCAGGGCUGCUCCUCUGCUUUGAGCAGGAGGAAUGGGAAGGAGAGAGAAACAGAAGAAAUUACAUGGGUAAUAUUUUGCUUGAGAAACUACCGAGCUGUAUUUUCUACCUGGGAAAAAAGUGUUGUGGUUUUUUUUUUUGUUUUUUUUUUUCCAGCUGCCAAGUAAAUUCACUUUGUCAAAACA
Molecule: long non-coding RNA, 4663 nt
Organism: Taeniopygia guttata (zebra finch)
Lineage: Eukaryota; Metazoa; Chordata; Aves; Passeriformes; Estrildidae
Source: Ensembl